CUCUGAAGAAUUGCUAUACUGUGGUUAUCUGUAUCAAGAACUGUGAAGUAUCUGAAAUGCUGUCCUAAUUGCAAGAAACAGCAGCAGCCAGAAGAUCAGCAUUUUGCCCUAAAUCCCUCAGGGUGACACAAAGUCCAGAUGACACAUGCACACUGUGAGCUGCUUCAUAGACUGGGAAUGCUGGGCUUAGAGACUAUGAAUCUUUUACAGGGAACAGUGAACACUAUAUCUUCUAAGACUGCUUGCUUUACAAACAUCCUUGAAAAAA
Molecule: long non-coding RNA, 268 nt
Organism: Orcinus orca (killer whale)
Lineage: Eukaryota; Metazoa; Chordata; Mammalia; Artiodactyla; Delphinidae
Exons: 3
Source: RefSeq, a predicted model, not a curated record